Lathyrus oleraceus (garden pea) is the source of this 698-nucleotide long non-coding RNA. RefSeq lists it as uncharacterized. NCBI's taxonomy places the organism in Eukaryota, Viridiplantae, Streptophyta, Magnoliopsida, Fabales, Fabaceae. The transcript has 2 exons. The record is from RefSeq and is a predicted model, not a curated record.
CGGAUAGUGAAGUAAUGGGCCAAAUCUGGAAGGCCCGAAACAAACCCACCUUAGCCAACUUAAAUCAAAAAAAGAAAAAAGAAUUGUUGCUUUCUCAAUAGCUUUUCUCUCUCUUCAAUUUUUAGCCGCUCCAAAACUCAGCAAACCCUAGAAACUUCUCUCUUGGAGAAGACGACCGGAGGCGGCGGCUCACGGCGGAGCCUCCGCUCUUCUCCGUCGCUUUACUCUCUCCCUCUCCCGUGACCGAUCGAGCUCCCUACACAAGAUAAACCGAACCAGCCUCCUAUGCAACCGUAAUAAAAUCAGAGCGAAAACGAUGAAGAUGUGCUUACCUACGGAUUCGCUGCUCUACCGGAAUCGAUGGACGAGAAGUACCAAAUUUUAAAUCGGAGGCUUCGAAUCCGGUAACGAGAGGAUUCGCGCUUGCGUCGUCCGCUCCUCUUCUUUACCCUUGAUUAUAGCUCUGAGAUGACAUGAUGGAAUGGAAAAGUGGCUGCUCCAAGCUUCAAGACAGCAUGUUUUUGCCCCUAGGUCCAAAGGAGUGUUUAUCCCGUCCAUGAUUUUGGUCUUGGUCAUUUAGAAUUAGGAAGACAAAUUUUACUGUAAUUACAUUGGUUUAUUUUUAAGACAAAUGUGUGCUUGGAUUAUGUAACUUAUUGAAUUAAAAGUCUAAUAACCAUUAAUAAUUAUGUAUUCAA